CCCUAAAGUAGAAAUCACUA
RNAcentral lists this microRNA (20 nucleotides) under Mus musculus (house mouse). Its description in RNAcentral is "mmu-miR-3969". The record is from miRBase by way of RNAcentral. Lineage: Eukaryota; Metazoa; Chordata; Mammalia; Rodentia; Muridae.